UACGAAGGGGGCUAGCGUUGCUCGGAUUUACUGGGCGUAAAGGGCGCGUAGGCGGACAGUUAAGUUGGGGGUGAAAGCCCGGGGCUCAACCUCGGAAUUGCCUUCAAUACUGGCUGUCUUGAGUGUGAGAGAGGUGUGUGGAACUCCGAGUGUAGAGGUGAAAUUCGUAGAUAUUCGGAAGAACACCAGUGGCGAAGGCGACUCACUGGCCCGUUACUGACGCUGAGGCGCGAAAGCGUGGGGAGCGAACAGG
Molecule: ribosomal RNA, 253 nt
Filed under: uncultured bacterium
Lineage: Bacteria
Description: partial 16S ribosomal RNA
Rfam family: Bacterial small subunit ribosomal RNA
Source: RNAcentral